RNAcentral lists this ribosomal RNA (1058 nucleotides) under Burkholderia cepacia. Its description in RNAcentral is "bacterial SSU rRNA". It matches the Rfam family "Bacterial small subunit ribosomal RNA", at positions 449 to 1506 of the family's 1533-position model. The record is from RNAcentral. Lineage: Bacteria; Pseudomonadati; Pseudomonadota; Betaproteobacteria; Burkholderiales; Burkholderiaceae.
AAAUCCUUGGCUCUUAUACAGUCGGGGGAUGACGGUACCGGAAGAAUAAGCACCGGCUAAUUACGUGCCAGCAGCCGCGGUAAUACGUAGGGUGCAAGCGUUAAUCGGAAUUACUGGGCGUAAAGCGUGCGCCGGCGGUUUGCUAAGACCGAUGUGAAAUCCCCGGGCUCAACCUGGGAACUGCAUUGGUGACUGGCAGGCUAGAGUAUGGCAGAGGGGGGUAGAAUUCCACGUGUAGCAGUGAAAUGCGUAGAGAUGUGGAGGAAUACCGAUGGCGAAGGCAGCCCCCUGGGCCAAUACUGACGCUCAUGCACGAAAGCGUGGCGAGCAAACAGGAUUAGAUACCCUGGUAGUCCACGCCCUAAACGAUGUCAACUAGUUGUUGGGGAUUCAUUUCCUUAGUAACGUAGCUAACGCGUGAAGUUGACCGCCUGGGGAGUACGGUCGCAAGAUUAAAACUCAAAGGAAUUGACGGGGACCCGCACAAGCGGUGGAUGAUGUGGAUUAAUUCGAUGCAACGCGAAAAACCUUACCUACCCUUGACAUGGUCGGAAUCCUGCUGAGAGGCGGGAGUGCUCGAAAGAGAACCGGCGCACAGGUGCUGCAUGGCUGUCGUCAGCUCGUGUCGUGAGAUGUUGGGUUAAGUCCCGCAACGAGCGCAACCCUUGUCCUUAGUUGCUACGCAAGAGCACUCUAAGGAGACUGCCGGUGACAAACCGGAGGAAGGUGGGGAUGACGUCAAGUCCUCAUGGCCCUUAUGGGUAGGGCUUCACACGUCAUACAAUGGUCGGAACAGAGGGUUGCCAACCCGCGAGGGGGAGCUAAUCCCAGAAAACCGAUCGUAGUCCGGAUUGCACUCUGCAACUCGAGUGCAUGAAGCUGGAAUCGCUAGUAAUCGCGGAUCAGCAUGCCGCGGUGAAUACGUUCCCGGGUCUUGUACACACCGCCCGUCACACCAUGGGAGUGGGUUUUACCAGAAGUGGCUAGUCUAACCGCAAGGAGGACGGUCACCACGGUAGGAUUCAUGACUGGGGUGAAGUCGUAACAAGAGCCAUCGC